Equus asinus (donkey) is the source of this 120-nucleotide microRNA precursor. The record is from Ensembl. Lineage: Eukaryota; Metazoa; Chordata; Mammalia; Perissodactyla; Equidae.
AAUGACGGAGGUGCAGGCAUUUCCUGAGGAUUAAUGACCAGCUGGGAGGAACCAGUGGCCCUUGGCUCUGCCUCCCGGCCAGCCAUUAAUUCCAAGGAAAUGUCUUUUGCUGAAGUCGUU